GCCUGUUCUCUAUAGAAUCCAGUACCACCAGCCCAGAGGUGACUCUACCCAUGAUUGACUGGGCCCUUCAAUCACUAAUUAUGAAAAUGCCCUACAUGUUUGCCUGCACCCUGAUUUUUGGAAGCAUUUUCUCAAUUGACAAAAUAUACUCAUCUCUCAAAUAAUUCUAGCUUGUGUCAAGUUAACAGAAAAUUAGCACAGUAUGGAAAACUACAGAAUUUUAGCUAGAAAACUUUAAAUAAUUUAGUGUUGGGAGUGGUUGGUGUGUAUCUUUAACUCCAGCCAGCACUUGGCAGGCAAAGUUACAUUAGUAGAUCUCUGUGAGUUAAAGGUGUGCUUGGUCUCUACAGUGAGUUCUAGUUCUAGUGUUUAACCGUUCCGUGUUCUUCCCAUAUGUAGAUCACCAAUUUGUCAAUAAUGAUGUUCAUCACUAGUUAUAUUGGCUUAAAAAAAAGUAUGUGUGUAUAGCUAGUAUAUAUAGUGCUCAGAGGUUAAGAGCACUUGCUCUUUCAGAGAACCUGGGUUUGGUUCUCAGCCCCACAACCUGCACUCCAGCUCCUGGGAGUCUCACACCCUUUUCUGACUUGUUCAUGCAUUGUUUGCACACAUGUACUAAACAGACAGAUGCAAGAAAACACAGAUGAUAGUAACUUUAAAAGGAUGUGAAGCUGUGAAAUGAAAGAAUCAGAUAUAGAGGGGUGUGGUCUAAUGUUUGAUUUGUUAUAGAGGGUGGGGUCUAAUGUUUGAUUUGUUAGAUGUGAAGGGGUGGGGUCUAAUGAUUGAUUUGUUAGAUAUGGAGGGGGUGGGGUCUAAUGUUUGAUUUGUUUGUUUGUUGCUUGAGAUGCUGACUUAUCCAGGCAGAGGCUGUUGGGUCUCUGUGAGGUCAAGGUCAGGUUCCUUGAUAUAUAGCAAGUUCCAGGACAGCCAGAGCUACAUAGACCCUAAAAAUAAUAUAAAGAUAAGUAAACCUACAUAUUCUGUGUUGCCAUUAUGGUAUUGAGCUUAGUGUCUGUUUUAAGAUGUGUUCUCACCUUGUAAAUGCCUGGUCUGGUACUGGAAUGUACACCAAACUGGCCUUGCAUUUAGAGAUUCACCUGCCUUUACCUUCUGAGUGUCAGGAUUAAAGGCGUGGGAAUAAUACUUGGUCUUUAUUUCUGUUAAUAGUGUAUCAAACUAGCAUAAUAGGGAUCCCAAAUUAUAAUGAAUUAAUUAGAAUAGGAUUCUCUUUUUAAUUUUUUUAAAAUUAGAUAUCUUCUUUAUUUACAUUUCACAUGUUAUCCUCCCCUUUCCUGGUUUCUCCUCCAAAAACCCUCUGUUUACCAACCCACCCACUCCCACUUCAGAAUAGGGUUCUCUUGUAUCUCCUACUCGUUCAGUUAAGAUUCUUUUUUCCUUUUCCUUUUUUUUUUUUUUUUUUUUUGAGACAGUGUAGUCUUGGCUGUCCUGGAACUCACUCUGUAGACCAGGCUGGGCUCAAACUCAGAAAUCCGCCUGCCUCUGCCUUCAAAGUGCUGAGAUUAAAGGCAUGUGCUACCACUGCCCAGCCUCCUUUUGAUUUCUUGUUUUUCUUUCUCCCAAGUUUUAUCAAAGCAGUUACCACUUUGAUGACUAAAUCUUAGUCCACUGAGAGGAGUGGAGGAAAGGGCAAAGAGUAAAGCCAGAGGGUGAUGAGCAAGGUAUAUUCUCCCUUUUUGUCAUAGUACAGUGGAGAGAUCUUCACCAGCUACACGGGCAGCUGAGAAGCACUCUGAAACUGGAUUGCCAAGUGACUAGCUAAAUAAACUUCAGUUACCAAUGAAGACUGCAUGAUGCUGCAUGUGGUGGUGCAUGCCUUUAAUCCCACACUUGAGAAGCAGAGGAGAGGGGGCUGGUGAGAUGGCUCAGUGAGCAAGAACACUGACUGCUCUCCCGAAGGUCCUGAAUUCAACUCCUAGCAAUCACAUGGCGGCUCACAACCACCUGUAAUGGAAUCUGAUGCCCUCUUCUGGUGCAUCUGAAGACUACUACAGUGUACUUAUUUAAAUAAUAAGUAAAUCUUUGGGCCAGAGUGAACAGGGUUGACCAAAGCAAGCAGAAGUCCUAAAUUCAAUUCCCAACAACCAUAUGAUGGCUCACAAGUAUCUGUACAGCUACACCGUGUACUCAGACACAUAAAAUAAAUAAAUCUUUUUUUAAAAAGAGAAGCAGAGGAGGUAGUUUUUUGUGAGUUGGAGACCAGCCUGUGAGUUCUAAGGUAACUAGGGCUAUGUAGAAAGACUUUGUCUCAAUUAACCAAGCCAAAAAAUAUUGAGACAGCAAAAAAAUUCCGAUACCUGCUAAAUAUUUUAGAAUUUAUUUCUGUCUUUAGCUUGAGAAGGCACAUUGAUCGGGCUUUAAUAAGUUAACAAAAAAUAUUUUUGAUACAUUCUAAUGGUAGCUCAAUCUAUCCUUGACCUUCUGAUCCUCCCACGUCCAGCCUAAAUAUUUCUCCCAUAGUCUCUCCCUCCCAUCUGCCAAUCCAGUUACAUACAGGAUGUCUCUAGUAUGUAACUCUGGUUGUACUAGAACUCACUAAAGUUCACAAAAGAUCCACCUGUCUCUUUCUCUGCUGGGAUUAAAUAAGAGUCCAAAUAGGACCCAAAAUCCAUUACAAAGAUGAAAGAAAGGCCCUUUGAAUCAGUCCUUAUCACCACCCUGGGCAAAAAAGGGAAGGAAAAAUUAUUUUGACAGAAGGUAGAGGCAAGAGUGUCUCUGUAAAUUUGAGCCUAGCUUGGUCUACAUAGCUAACUCCAAGAAAGCAAGGAAUAUGUAGAGACCCUGUCUCAAAAAACAAACCAAGCCAGGUGGUGGUGGCCCACGCCUUUAAUCCCAAUACCCCAGAGGCAGAGGCAAGCAGAUCUUUGGGAGUUCCAGGAUAGCCAGAGCUGUUACACAGAAACUGGGGAAAAACAUACCCAAAAGCCUCUUGAGUUUUUGUAUAUUUGUAAGUAUUUCAAAGAUAUACCCUGGUCACCUUGUUCGUCCUCAUCUGAUUUUGAGGGGUUUUGUUUGUUUGUUAAUUUGUUUUUUCACCAUACCAGUUAUUGUGAAAUACAACUUUAGAUUCUUUUGCAUGGGAAGUAUCCUUAAAGGGAGGCCUAUGACUAUAUAACACCCUGUUCUGCUGUGGAGGACAUUUCAGAGCACUGCUAAUUUGACCAUUUCCUAAGGAACAUUUUGUUGUCAUUACUGUUUUGUUUUGGCAGCUGCAGAUACUGCUGGUGUUUUUUACUUGUGUUGUGCUGGCACAGACAAAUUCAGGUGUUGGGAGUUAAGAGUUGUGAGCUGCUAAACUGGGCCAGAUGCUAUGACCUACAUAAUCUGUUGGUACUGGUAGUAAAGACUGUUGACUUUUUGGGCUUUUAGUUCAUUUCAUUCUUUGAAGGGAAGAAAAUGGCUAGACAUAGUAUCACACACCUUUCAGGAAGAGGCUGGUAGAUAUCUGAAUUCAAGGCCAGCCUGGUCUACAAAGUGAAACCCCGUCUCAAUAAAUUUAAUACAAGGAGCUGGGCAUGGUUGUACACACCUUUAGCUCUAGCAUUCAAGAGUCAGGAGGAUCUCUGAGUUCAGGCCAGCUUAGAGAGAGUUCUAAGACAUGGAGGGAUGCAUAGAGAACCUGUCUCAAAAUACC
Molecule: long non-coding RNA, 3649 nt
Filed under: Mus musculus (house mouse)
Lineage: Eukaryota; Metazoa; Chordata; Mammalia; Rodentia; Muridae
Description: long non-coding RNA chr8:106121695-106125344
Source: RNAcentral